RNAcentral lists this transfer RNA (75 nucleotides) under Gammaproteobacteria bacterium. RNAcentral's name for it is "tRNA-Thr". It matches the Rfam family "tRNA". From Rfam's summary of the family: Transfer RNA (tRNA) molecules are approximately 80 nucleotides in length. Their secondary structure includes four short double-helical elements and three loops (D, anti-codon, and T loops). Lineage: Bacteria; Pseudomonadati; Pseudomonadota; Gammaproteobacteria. The record is from RNAcentral.
GCCGGUGUAGCUCAGCGGUAGAGCGGCUGCCUUGUAAGCAGUUGGUCGGGGGUUCGACUCCUCUCACCGGCUCCA